UUUGUUUCAUGCUCUGGAGGUUGUUUUGUGGUCAAAUAUUAGUUAAAUACUGGUUCUUUAAAGGCACCCAUUCCACGGCCCAUAUAUUCAGAGCUGACUCAGGUGUAGAGCUGUCUGGUCAAUGCUAUGUCAUUUAGGUAAGCCUUGUGCUGGGGCAGAUCCUUGCUACCUUUAUUCUCCUUCCUAAUGUAUAGGAAGUCAGAAGAGCAUACAGCAACAAACUUAGAGCCUGUGAUUUGGGAGCAGAGUUCAAUUGAUUUGAAACUCCAGAGGGAACUCCACUCUAACAUGAUCAUUUCAAGAAUUGCUCGUUCCUGAAAAUUGUAUGCAUGCUGCUCAUUGACCAGAUGAUUCAAAUAUCAAGUCAAUGUCAAGUCAAUCAAGCCCUCUCACAGGGCUGGCCAUGCUGGAGUGUAUGCUCCUGAUUGUUUUCUGUAAUCUCAGUCAAGUGACUUCAGUUGUGCUACUAUUAAUAGGGGGCCCCAGGAGAAGCUGGGUAAAGAGUCCAGAAGAAUGGACUGCAGUGCCAGAGGUGUGGCCUAUUCCCAAUGUGGAGAGAGGAACAGCCCUCUGGUUAGCCAUCACAUUCCCACACAUCCAGGAAUUGCAAAGGUGGCCAGGUCUUAAG
This 628-nucleotide long non-coding RNA is filed under the name Struthio camelus australis. RNAcentral's name for it is "lncRNA (ENSSCUG00000001172.1)". The record is from RNAcentral. Lineage: Eukaryota; Metazoa; Chordata; Aves; Struthioniformes; Struthionidae.